Molecule: ribosomal RNA, 484 nt
Filed under: uncultured bacterium
Lineage: Bacteria
Description: partial 16S ribosomal RNA
Rfam family: Bacterial small subunit ribosomal RNA
Source: RNAcentral
AUUGAACGCUGGCGGCAUGCUUUACACAUGCAAGUCGAACGGCAGCGCGGGCUUCGUCCUGGCGGCGCGUGGCGAACGGGUGAGUAAUGCAUCGGAACGUGCCCAGUAGUGGGGGAUAGCCCGGCGAAAGCCGGAUUAAUACCGCAUACGACCUGAGGGUGAAAGCGGGGGACCGAAAGGCCUCGCGCUAUUUGAGCGGCCGAUGUCGGAUUAGCUAGUUGGUGGGGUAAAGGCUUACCAAGGCGACGAUCCGUAGCUGGUCUGAGAGGACGACCAGCCACACUGGGACUGAGACACGGCCCAGACUCCUACGGGAGGCAGCAGUGGGGAAUUUUGGACAAUGGGGGCAACCCUGAUCCAGCCAUGCCGCGUGCGGGAAGAAGGCCUUCGGGUUGUAAACCGCUUUUGUUCGGGAAGAAAUCCUCUGGGCUAAUACCCCGGGGGGAUGACGGUACCGGAAGAAUAAGCACCGGCUAACUACGUG